This 1462-nucleotide ribosomal RNA is filed under the name Enterococcus mundtii. RNAcentral describes it as "bacterial SSU rRNA". It matches the Rfam family "Bacterial small subunit ribosomal RNA". The record is from RNAcentral. Lineage: Bacteria; Bacillati; Bacillota; Bacilli; Lactobacillales; Enterococcaceae.
GAGUGGCGAACGGGUGAGUAACACGUGGGUAACCUGCCCAUCAGAAGGGGAUAACACUUGGAAACAGGUGCUAAUACCGUAUAACAAUCGAAACCGCAUGGUUUCGUUUUGAAAGGCGCUUUACGGUGCCGCUGAUGGAUGGACCCGCGGUGCAUUAGCUAGUUGGUGAGGUAACGGCUCACCAAGGCCACGAUGCAUAGCCGACCUGAGAGGGUGAUCGGCCACAUUGGGACUGAGACACGGCCCAAACUCCUACGGGAGGCAGCAGUAGGGAAUCUUCGGCAAUGGACGAAAGUCUGACCGAGCAACGCCGCGUGAGUGAAGAAGGUUUUCGGAUCGUAAAACUCUGUUGUUAGAGAAGAACAAGGGUGAGAGUAACUGUUCACCCCUUGACGGUAUCUAACCAGAAAGCCACGGCUAACUACGUGCCAGCAGCCGCGGUAAUACGUAGGUGGCAAGCGUUGUCCGGAUUUAUUGGGCGUAAAGCGAGCGCAGGCGGUUUCUUAAGUCUGAUGUGAAAGCCCCCGGCUCAACCGGGGAGGGUCAUUGGAAACUGGGAGACUUGAGUGCAGAAGAGGAGAGUGGAAUUCCAUGUGUAGCGGUGAAAUGCGUAGAUAUAUGGAGGAACACCAGUGGCGAAGGCGGCUCUCUGGUCUGUAACUGACGCUGAGGCUCGAAAGCGUGGGGAGCAAACAGGAUUAGAUACCCUGGUAGUCCACGCCGUAAACGAUGAGUGCUAAGUGUUGGAGGGUUUCCGCCCUUCAGUGCUGCAGCUAACGCAUUAAGCACUCCGCCUGGGGAGUACGACCGCAAGGUUGAAACUCAAAGGAAUUGACGGGGGCCCGCACAAGCGGUGGAGCAUGUGGUUUAAUUCGAAGCAACGCGAAGAACCUUACCAGGUCUUGACAUCCUUUGACCACUCUAGAGAUAGAGCUUCCCCUUCGGGGGCAAAGUGACAGGUGGUGCAUGGUUGUCGUCAGCUCGUGUCGUGAGAUGUUGGGUUAAGUCCCGCAACGAGCGCAACCCUUAUUGUUAGUUGCCAUCAUUUAGUUGGGCACUCUAGCAAGACUGCCGGUGACAAACCGGAGGAAGGUGGGGAUGACGUCAAAUCAUCAUGCCCCUUAUGACCUGGGCUACACACGUGCUACAAUGGGAAGUACAACGAGUCGCGAAGUCGCGAGGCUAAGCUAAUCUCUUAAAGCUUCUCUCAGUUCGGAUUGUAGGCUGCAACUCGCCUACAUGAAGCCGGAAUCGCUAGUAAUCGCGGAUCAGCACGCCGCGGUGAAUACGUUCCCGGGCCUUGUACACACCGCCCGUCACACCACGAGAGUUUGUAACACCCGAAGUCGGUGAGGUAACCUUUUUGGAGCCAGCCGCCUAAGGUGGGAUAGAUGAUUGGGGUGAAGUCGUAACAAGGUAGCCGUAUCGGAAGGUGCGGCUGGAUCACCUCCUUUCUAAGGAA